RNAcentral lists this ribosomal RNA (468 nucleotides) under uncultured bacterium. Its description in RNAcentral is "partial 16S ribosomal RNA". It matches the Rfam family "Bacterial small subunit ribosomal RNA", at positions 28 to 507 of the family's 1533-position model. The record is from RNAcentral.
GACGAACGCUGGCGGCGUGCUUAACACAUGCAAGUCGAACGGAAAGGCCCUGCUUUUGUGGGGUGCUCGAGUGGCGAACGGGUGAGUAACACGUGAGUAACCUGCCCUUGACUUUGGGAUAACUUCAGGAAACUGGGGCUAAUACCGGAUAGGAGCUCCUGCUGCAUGGUGGGGGUGGGAAAGUUUCGGCGGUUGGGGAUGGACUGGCGGCUUAUCAGCUUGUUGGUGGGGUAGUGGCUUACCAAGGCUUUGACGGGUAGCCGGCCUGAGAGGGGGACCGGCCACAUUGGGACUGAGAUACGGCCCAGACUCCUACGGGAGGCAGCAGUGGGGAAUAUUGCACAAUGGGCGGAAGCCUGAUGCAGCAACGCCGCGUGCGGGAUGACGGCCUUCGGGUUGUAAACCGCUUUCGCCUGUGACGAAGCGUGAGUGACGGUAAUGGGUAAAGAAGCACCGGCUAACUACGUG